AAAAUGUGAUAAUCAUUGUGAAUUGCAGAAUUCAGUGAAUCAAUAGAACGCUCAACGCACUCGGCACUGUACUCUGUACAGUAGGCCUGUUUCAGAUUCAUUUACGAUCUCCCCAAACAAUUGCUGUUUGAGGAGUUGAGGUGCUGCUUGACGAAAGUUUGGCAGUCGCAGAGUUCUAUGAUAGUACUCCGCUAAACAUGUUCGAAAGAUAUUGUUAGCAAGUACAUAAUGUCAUAGCGCACUAUCUUAUAUGAACUGAAAUCAGACCAGGCUACCCGCUGAACUUAA
Molecule: unclassified non-coding RNA, 288 nt
Filed under: uncultured Serendipitaceae
Lineage: Eukaryota; Fungi; Basidiomycota; Agaricomycetes; Sebacinales; Serendipitaceae
Description: sequence contains ITS1
Rfam family: 5.8S ribosomal RNA (bases 1-100)
Source: RNAcentral